This 928-nucleotide long non-coding RNA is filed under the name Callithrix jacchus (white-tufted-ear marmoset). Its description in RNAcentral is "lncRNA (ENSCJAG00000076230.1)". Lineage: Eukaryota; Metazoa; Chordata; Mammalia; Primates; Cebidae. The record is from RNAcentral.
CAUCAUGCUCAUCUUUAAAACAAGAAAAACCUGGACAAAUUGAAAAUCAAUUACUUGGCCGAUUAGAAAACCUCUACCCUGAAAUAAAGGAGAGAGAGAUAGUGAUCCAGAGAGACAGCUGGGAUCGGCUUCCCUGGAGCAGCAGCUGCUGGAGCUUAAAUUGGCAUUCUAUCAAUGGACAAGAGUGAUGUUACAAUUUCCAGCUGUGACUGUAAAACACUGUGAGUUUCUGUUUCAUAUGUUUUAAAGUUCUCGUAUUAGGCACGUAAACCUCCGUAAUUGUAUUUGUUCCUGAUAAAUUGAACAUUUUAUCAUUAUGAAAUACUACUUAUUACCUCUGGAAAUAUUUUUCUUUCAAAGAAUCGGUUGCCUGUGAUAUUAACAUAGCCAUCUCAGCCUUCUUAAGGUUGCUGUAAACAUGAGUUUUUCUGUAGACUUGUUUUCAACUUGUCUCUGUCUUUGUAUUUAAAGGGAAUCAAUGAGAGAUAGCAGAUAGUCAAGUCUUUCAUGUUUUUUUAAUCCUUUCUGAUAAUCACUGACUUUUAAUUGGAGUGCUUAGUCCAUUAAUAUUUAAUGUGAUUAUUGAUACAGUUGUGAUUUAGUUCUGCCCUUUUGCUUUCCAUUUUCUGUUACUUGUUUCUAUUUUUUAGUUAUUUAUUUCCUACAUUCUACUUGAUUACUGCAGUAUUAUUAGAAUUGUUUUAAUGUUACAAUAAGCUUUCCAACUUCACCUUUUACAUUAAUUUUUAGUAGUGGUUCUAGGGAUUAUAAUAUACAUUUUUAAUUUUUCUGUGUAUUUACUGUCAAUACUGUACCAUUUCACAUUUGAUGUAGAAAAUUUCUAACCACCUUUGUGUUACAGUUACAUAUAUCACAAAUACAUAACAUUGUAACCCCCCGGAGACAUAAUAAUGUUUGUUUUAAAUCA